CCAGCGUGAGGCUUUCAGCGACAGAGGCCUUGAGACCAAAUGAGUUUGGGGGAUCGAACGAGCCCUCAAAGCCCUUCUCAAUACCGAACUCGUGGGUGGGGUUGUCGGAUGACUUGCUGACUGAAACUGACAGUACAUCUGUUUGUUGCAUAGGUGUGAUCUGCAGCAUGACACGAGAUGGGAAAUGCUUCUCUUCAGAACCAUAUCCGCGCUCCGCCAUGAGGGUCUCGGAGACCAAAGGGUCCACGUCGCACCUGAUAUCGAGGAAUGCUACAGCUAGCUGGACCACGCCUUCAAGUUGCUGAUAAGUGAGUGAGAAGAGAAGGCGCUCAUCCUGCGCCGCCGCUGCCGCAGGAUCCUCCAUGCCCAUGGCGAUCACUGGGCAGUACAGCUGGACCUUCCAGAGCCCGCUUGCCUGGAGGGCGUACGAGAAGAGCGGUGACGCUGCCCUGGGUGCGUGGUGCGAGGAGCGCAUCUCGACCAUCCAGUUGGUCACUGCGAGAUUCAUCGUCUGCAUCCACUGGUCCUCGAGGUUGGUGCCGAGCAUUUUGACGAGGGUCUUUGCAGCGCCUCUGCACUUUGGGCUGGUCAGCUGAGUCCUCAGUGAGUCCAGGCACCCACGGCGGAGGUCGCGGGGCGCCUCGUAGAUGCAGACCAGGAAAGCAAGGGACAAGAAGACUAUGUUGAACGCGUUGCUGAAGCUGCCGCCAUGGAGGUGCUGCGCCCCGGGGAACCGGAAGGACGGCUUGCUGCUGUUGUCCGGCCCGUACCGCAGCACCUGGUUCACGAUGUCCACGAACAGCUGCACCAUGUCUUGCUCGUCCAGGGAUUGCUGCGCCUUGGUUUUCAGGUGGACCGGUUUCGACGUCCACAGGAAGAUCGGCUCGCGGUAGUUUGUGGAGAUGGAGAAGGUGAGGUGGGAAGGCUGGGCGGGGGGUGAUUUGGUGGCUGAGAGGCUCAUUGAUGCCGGCUGUGAUGACGCCGACGGUGAAGACGUAGCGCAGAUGCAGAGGGACAUGGUGUUGGUGCGCCACUGGGAGAAUGGGGGCAGGCUGCUGAUCCAGCCCCAUGCAUCAGGCACGAAGUUGUGAGCCAUUGUGGCGUUGGAAGAAGCUUGAGCUCCUUGCUGGCCUUUUAUAAAGAGGGAAAGAAGGCGAUGACGCGGCGGAUAGAACUUCGGUUUAUCGCAUAUGAUUGAGCCCAAUGAGCGCACGGCAAAGUCUCGGGUAAAGUAGAUUCUUGGUUUGAGAUUUAUCUGGUCUAGAUGCUGAUUGGAAAAUUUAUCUGCUACUAAUUGAGACUCGAAGAAUCUCUCUUUAUGCUGCCGUGCAGUGCUGACCGUGAACUGCUGUUAUAUAUAGCACGCGUUUCAAACUAAAGUUGGUGACCCUGAUGACAAAUUGUACUGUUCGGGAGGAAACUUGUGCCGUGGCUGCUGUCAGCUGGGAAUCGGAACCCGAGGAAUCUCACAUUGUACUUUCGUGAAGCUUUGCAAUUUAUCAACUCCAGACGCACGCCAUUUAUCCUUCUCUUUGUGUUUUUUUCUUUUUGUUAUUGAGAAUAAUAAUCUUCUCUUGGUCUGGCAGAGUAUGACGGCAAGUCAUGCUCAUUUGGUUAAGAGAAAUGCUACUCCCAACCGGACCUUUUUUUUAAUGAAAACCCCUAUCACACUUUUCCUUCC
This is a long non-coding RNA of Triticum aestivum (bread wheat), 1681 nucleotides long. RefSeq lists it as uncharacterized. The record is from RefSeq and is a predicted model, not a curated record. The transcript has 2 exons. Lineage: Eukaryota; Viridiplantae; Streptophyta; Magnoliopsida; Poales; Poaceae.